This 1136-nucleotide long non-coding RNA is filed under the name Prunus dulcis (almond). RNAcentral's name for it is "sRNA ncRNA". Lineage: Eukaryota; Viridiplantae; Streptophyta; Magnoliopsida; Rosales; Rosaceae. The record is from RNAcentral.
AUGGUACUUCACUUCAUCUCUCCACUCUUCAUUGGAUUAAUGUAAGCGACUUUAAUAUGGUUUGUUUUUUUCUUUUCUUUUUCGCUCUUGGAGAAGACAUAUAUGUAUCAAACUUCAAACCUAACCUGGCUAAAGUGGGGACUGUCUUCUUUAAUUAAUAAUUUCUUCUCUUUUUGACUGAAUUAUAAUUAAUAAUUGAAGCAAUUUACAUAUAAUUUCUAAUGAAGCUUGAACUCUAUUAGCUAUUAAGGUAUCCUAGGGGGCAAUCAUAUAUUCUAAUACUUAUGAAAUCUCCUUCCUAUAUAAAUAUGACCAAGAUCAAUAACUAAGUGUGUAUAUAUAUAUAUACAUAGUUAAUUACUUGUUGGAGGAGUGAAAAAAGCUCUUUAUUUGCAGUUUGGAAAUCUCAAGUUCGAGUCCUAUAACACCUUGAUAGUGUAUGUGAGAAACCCCCUUUUCAUAAUUCAAACUAUCAUUUGUGCUCAAAAACAAAAAGUAUAUAUAUAUAUAAUAUAGUUAACUUUUUCUGAAAUGGAAGUAAAAUUAAGUUUGAAUUUUUGGUGCAAGAUGCGAGGUUUAAAAUUAGUACAUCGAUCCGUCCAAGAGAACAUAAAUCAAAGUGACUGGGACACAUCCGAAGGACAAGAUCAGAUGGGGUCAGCGACAAACACCAUUGGUGAUCAAAAUGGUGAGCAAUUGCAUGGCAAUCCUAGUAAACUCCAACAUACAAGUUGCAAAAAAGUUAAUAGUACAAGAUCAUUAUUAAUUUAAUUAUAUAUAUAUAUAUUUUGCAUUAAAACAAAUAGUCUUCCAAAUUCAGAGAUUGCUAAAUAUGCCAGUAUAUAUGCAUAUGUUUAUAUAUAAAUGAAUGGCUGUUACUGGUUAAAACAAGUCGAAGCCAAUGAAGGGAAAUGUAGCGGUCUACUUGUGAAAAGCCAUGACAUUUGUUUGGCCAUAUAUAUAGGAGGCCUUGUCCCCAGCUAGCUCAUGUGGAUCUGAUUGGCUUUGACAAUGACAAACCACCCAAUUACUUGCUUCACAAAUCGGGGACAAAUGGUACCACAGCACAGCUUGGAGAAGCAAUUAAUGGUUUCCAUGUGAUCGCUUGAAGUUGCAGCUUUGCAAACAGAAGAUGA